CUCUCGCCACCCUCCUGUCCAAUUAGCUCCGACUAGCAAAAGUUUGGGUUGUUCCUGAGGGCAUGUAUGGUCUAGGCUGAGUGAAGACUAUCUAGGUCAACACAGUGGUUUCUGUUUCUGUUGUCUUCUAAAAUCUCCCACAUUUGUGUUUCAAGCAUGUCCUGAUUUUCUUCUUUUACACGCUGGUCUUUACUCUUUAACCCGCGUUUAACAACCAGACAGCACAUUGUUUAUGACGGGGAAGAUAAGGGAAGAACACUGCAGGACUAUAAAAAAAAAGGGGGGGAUGACACAAUAUACAACAUAUCAUGCCAACGUGGGUUAUUAGUAGGAGGCACUGCCAUUUGGACCUGCACGUACUGGACUACAUUUGUUGUGGAAGAAGCAGAAAGGCUCAGGACGUGCACGUGUAGAUAUGUGAAGAGGUGGGUUUAUCUAUUACGUUCGGAUCAUCUCUUGUGCUUUAUAGUCAAAAGUGGAAGUUAUAUCCUCUUGUGGACUUUUGCCCUCAGACUGUCAUCAUGGCAACCCACUGCCCAGCGCGCGCCUUGCUCAUGCUUGUUGGAUUUCUUACCUUUUUGGUUGCGUUUACACUGAACACUCUGGCGGGAUACGGCGCUAACUCAGGUGACUAUCUGCCAGGUUGAUCAAAAGUCAUCAUCGGGAGGGUUUUUGUGAAGUAAGUGAUGGGAUAAACUAACCGUCUGUGCUCAACUCAACACAGGUGUCUUCAAUCAGGCGACGGAGGAUGUGACACUCAAGUACACAACACCCAUAACUCCUGCUGCGUGGGCCCUGUUUGUCUGGGAUUUCAUUUACAUCUGGGUCUUUGCCAUGUUCAUAUACCUUUUAGUGGGACUCUGCAGAAGGAGCGCUUACGACUGGCUGUACACCACCCCGGCAGUGCUACCCUAUGGAUUUCACGUCUCCAUCAUCGCCAACGUCUGUUUGAAUAUCACAUGGUUGUUUCUGUAUGACAGAGAGUUGCUGCUGCCAGGGCUGAUAACCUCAGCGCUUAUGACGAUCACCGAUUACAUGGUCCUGUUUUUCUCCUGUCAUGGACUGAAGAUCUAUGGAGCCUGGUUGCACAAAUAUCAAAACACGGACCUUUGGCUCAUCAGAAUAUUGGUGCAAAAUGGAGUAGCAGUAUAUGCAACAUGGGGGACUCUCUUCACUCUGCUGAACCUGACGACAUACAUACAGCACCUGGCGGAGGUAUCUAAAUGUGACUGUGCAAAGCUGUCACUUAUGCUGCUGCUGAUGAAGUUGUUAGGCUGGUUUCUGUUGGAGAACUUCCACCUCGACAAGCACGUGCGCUACAUCGUGACCGUCUACCCUGUGGUGAUGCUGUGGAUGUCAGGCGUACUGAGCAACUCCAGCUCUCAUGGAAGUACUGUUUACAUCUUCUCAGCUUCUAUCAUGGUUAUUACCACGUGUCUGUUUGUGGCACGCAUCGCCCUGGUCACCUGGAGGCAUUACAAACAACCGCUUUACAACGACACUGGACCCAGUAUGUCGCCUGUAGAAAUAGCACUGACACAAGGAAAACUCUGUUUAUGAACGUGAGCUCGGAGCUUAACUCAUCAUUUUUGCGUUGUUGUUUGUAUGUUUGUUUUUUUCCCCGAGUGGAAAUCUCAGUCUGUAGAUUUGUAAAUUGCCACGUGGGACAGAAAUACUCAAAAAUAUGAAAAUUUAAAUCAAAGAAUGUACAGAUGAUUUCACCAAUUAAAGAAAAAAAUUUAAACAUUGGAUGUAAUUGUAUUAUAUGUAACACUUAUGUAUGUAUGUAUGAAUGUUAUUUCACUUUCAAAGAAAUAAAUUACACUGAACAAAUGGUGGGUUGAAAAUAAUUUAAAUGUCCAGUGUGAAGGAUUUUGUGGCAAACCGUAUUGGAAAAAAAUUUUAAUAAAAAAUGCAGACCACCCCCAAGCAGGUAAGAUUACAUGUUUUGGUUUGUCCAUUUUGGGCUUCCUUAAAAACAUGGCGGUGCAACAUGGCAGACUCUGAGGAAGACAACCAGAGGUAAUGAAAACACAACAAUUGUUAGUUUCAGGUGAUUAUAUACUAAUAAAAACAUGAUUAUGAACAUUAUAUUUAAUUUGUGCCCACAUAUCCCUAUAAAUCCCAAACACUGGACCUUAAAUGCUAAUAAAAUAGAAUAAAUCGAUUUACCCAAACAUUAAAAAGUCUUUGAAAUAAACAUUUAUUACACUGGAAACGUAGCUGAAACUGUACUUUCAGUAUAACCAGUUAAUCUGUCAUGACAACAAUAAAAAAGGCCCAUCACAGUAUCUCA
RNAcentral lists this long non-coding RNA (2296 nucleotides) under Sparus aurata (gilthead seabream). Its description in RNAcentral is "lncRNA (ENSSAUG00010013447.1)". The record is from RNAcentral. Lineage: Eukaryota; Metazoa; Chordata; Actinopteri; Spariformes; Sparidae.